UUCCGUAGGUGAACCUGCGGAAGGAUCAUUAUGAAUAAGUAGUUUGCUACUUUGUUGGGGGAGAUGGGAAAGUCCUGGCUGAAAAGCUAGUGUACCGGUACCUGCACCCCUAUCAUACCCUUGUCUUUUGAGUACUUAUGUUUCCUUGGUAGGCUUGCUUACCAAUUGGACAAUUUACAAACCUUUAUUUCUUAAAUCAGCGUCUGAAUAAAUUAAUAAUUACAACUUUCAACAACGGAUCUCUUGGUUCUGGCAUCGAUGAAGAACGCAGCGAAAUGCGAUAAGUAGUGUGAAUUGCAGAAUUCAGUGAAUCAUCGAAUCUUUGAACGCACAUUGCGCCCCUUGGUAUUCCAUGGGGCAUGCCUGUUCGAGCGUCAUUUGUACCCUCAAGCUAUGCUUGGUGUUGGGUGUUUGUCCUUUGUUUUAUAGCUUGGACUCGCCUCAAAGUAAUUGGCAGCCAAAUGUUUUGGUAGAAAGCGCAGCACAUUUUGCAAUUUCCUCCAAGAGUAUUAGCGACCAAUAAGCCUUUCUAACACUUUUGACCUCGGAUCAGGUAGGGAUACCCGCUGAAC
Molecule: ribosomal RNA, 572 nt
Filed under: Phaeosphaeria juncicola
Lineage: Eukaryota; Fungi; Ascomycota; Dothideomycetes; Pleosporales; Phaeosphaeriaceae
Description: eukaryotic LSU rRNA
Rfam family: 5.8S ribosomal RNA (bases 224-377)
Source: RNAcentral